UACAGAGGGUGCAAGCGUUAAUCGGAAUUACUGGGCGUAAAGCGUGCGUAGACGGUUAUGUAAGUCAGAUGUGAAAGCCCCGGGCUCAACCUGGGAAUGGCAUUUGGGACUGCAAGGCUCGAGUGCGGCAGAGGAGACUGGAAUUCCUGGUGUAGCAGUGAAAUGCGUAGAUAUCAGGAGGAACACCGAUGGCGAAGGCAGGUCUCUGGGCUGACACUGACGCUCAUGCACGAAAGCGUGGGGAGCAAACAGG
Molecule: ribosomal RNA, 253 nt
Filed under: uncultured bacterium
Lineage: Bacteria
Description: partial 16S ribosomal RNA
Rfam family: Bacterial small subunit ribosomal RNA
Source: RNAcentral